Long non-coding RNA from Salvelinus sp. IW2-2015, 1815 nucleotides. RefSeq lists it as uncharacterized. The record is from RefSeq and is a predicted model, not a curated record. Lineage: Eukaryota; Metazoa; Chordata; Actinopteri; Salmoniformes; Salmonidae.
AGAAGGAGGAGGAACAGAUGCUGGAGAUGUGGGUGAAGGAGGAGACUUCAGCCACCAGAACCUCCAUCGUAGAGAAGUGGUCCAGACUUCAGGGACUGGACCAGCACAAUGCCAUGCUCAAAUACAUGAACAUCAUCAAGGAGUGGCCCGGAUAUGGGUCCACACUGUUCGACGUAGAGUGUAAAGAGGGAGGCUUUCCUCACGACCUGUGCUGAGUGUGAGUGCAGAGAACGUGUCGGUCUACAAGAGAGGAGAGCCCAACCUCUAGAGACGUUCCCCUACGAACACAUCAUCUUCUUCGGAGCUCCCCAGGCCACUACCUAUAAGAUCACAGUGGACGACAGAGAUAUGUUCUUUGAGACACCUCUGGUUGGAGAGAUCAUCAAGAUCAUGAAAGCCUACAUCAACAUGAUAGUAAAGAAGAGAUGCAGUGUCAGAUCUGGGUCCAGCGACGGAACCAACUGGAUCAGGUGAUGUGAGACAGAACACAGCCCAGUUGGCUUCCCACCACCGCCCCUGACCAGAAGGCUAAAAGGCUAGCACUACAAGGCUAAAAGGCUAGCACUACAAGGCUAAAAGGCUAGCACUACAAGGCUAACCAGCAGGGUCCGUGAAGACAAGCUUCAAGACUAAAAGUUCACGAAGACAGGACUGUUCUCUUCAACUCAGAUGUCUGGAUAACUGACGUCACGCUGCUAUUCAGCUACUCCAGAACUUGUCCGACUCCGGUGUCCCUCAGUGUGGUCCGCCAAGCCAACAUUCAGAACAUUCUAGAAUGUGUAGCGCUAAAGGCUGUACUGCGUUCCUCAACCGUUUUAAAUAUUGCUAUUCUAUAGCUGUCGACAGAGUCGAUAUCACGUUACCUUCUGCUAUUAUUUACAUCAAUUUAUCAAUAGUAUGAACCAAUCAGGUUGUCACAUUUAUAAUUUCCUUUUGUAUUCAAGUUCUACCGUUUUCAAAUUCCUUUCCAAUGGAUUGAGAUUCAGAUUGAGUGAGAAAUGUCUCACUGUCAAGCCUUCCCGUGACUAGCUCCCCUUUCCUGUUGUGUCUAUUUUUAUAAUUGGCAAGUGUUAUUAUUAUUAUUAUAACAUAUGUUAAUGUCUGGGCACCCAACUAUACCGUUAUAUAUUUACAAUGAGAAGAAGUUAUUUGUCUAAAGUAAAGGUUGAAAGACUUUCCCCUCAGGUUUUAUGAGCAAUAGGAGUUGAAUCCCAAACCAACCACAGAACCAGGGAGUUGAACAUCUCUACAUUUUGAUGCCUUAAAUAGGUUUCGCUGCUUCCAUCCAUGUUGUUAUUCUUUGGACUGUAAGUAAUAGGUUUUCACUUUCAGGAAUGGCGUCCCCGAGCCAGGGUUAUGUCAYGGUUCAUAGCUCGAUGGUUAUAACCAGUUAUAAUGCUAGUGGCAGAGGCUGCUGUUCUAUAGCCCGGUCCCAGAUCUGUUUCUGCUUUUGCCUACUCUGAUUAUGACGCUAAAUAUGUUUGAAAUGACAAUUCCAUAAGAAGUAGAAGAGCAGAAAAGCAGACUGGUGCCUAAAGCCUUUCUACCCAGUGCCUGAGAAGCAGGUUUUUAACUCUGAUGAAAUAACACUUGUAUUUUAUAAGUUAAAUAUAACCAAUACAUAAUCCAUUACUACUAUAUUUAGGUUAUUAUUUAUUUACAAUAAAGGCAGUGGUUUAAUAUAGAACGUUUAGCUUAAUUCUGAAGAACAUCGUGAUAGAAUUUAGUCUGAGGUAUUUUUCAUUUAAAUGUUUUAUUUGCUAUUUUGAUUUGAAACCAGGUGUGUCCUUGUAAUUAAAUGUUUUCUGACUGAAA